UAAGACGAACCGUCCAAACGUUAUUCGGAAUCACUGGGCUUAAAGGGUGCGUAGGCGGCGCGGAAAGUUGGGUGUGAAAUCCCUCGGCUUAACCGAGGAACUGCGCCCAAAACUACCGUGCUCGAGGGAGAUAGAGGUGAGCGGAACUUAGGGUGGAGCGGUGAAAUGCGUUGAUAUCCUAAGGAACACCGGUGGCGAAAGCGGCUCACUGGAUCUCUUCUGACGCUGAGGCACGAAAGCUAGGGUAGCGAACGGGAUUAGAUACCCCGGUAGUCCUAGCCGUAAACGAUGAACACUGGAUUGGAGGGUCCUCCAUAGCCUUCCAGUCGCAACGAAAGCGUUAAGUGUUCCGCCUGGGGAGUAUGGUCGCAAGGCUG
Molecule: ribosomal RNA, 377 nt
Filed under: uncultured bacterium
Lineage: Bacteria
Description: bacterial SSU rRNA
Rfam family: Bacterial small subunit ribosomal RNA
Source: RNAcentral